RNAcentral lists this ribosomal RNA (270 nucleotides) under uncultured bacterium. Its description in RNAcentral is "partial 16S ribosomal RNA". It matches the Rfam family "Bacterial small subunit ribosomal RNA", at positions 29 to 324 of the family's 1533-position model. The record is from RNAcentral.
AACGAACGCUGGCGGCAUGCCUAACACAUGCAAGUCGAACGCGUGGUUUCGGCCACGAGUGGCGCACGGGUGAGUAACGCGUGGGAACCUGCCCUGGGGUGGGGGAUAACCGAGGGAAACCUCGGCUAAUACCGCAUACGUCCUGAGGGAGAAAGAUUUAUCGCCCUGGGAGGGGCCCGCGUCGGAUUAGGUAGUUGGUGGGGUAACGGCCUACCAAGCCAGUGAUCCGUAGCUGGUCUGAGAGGAUGAUCAGCCACACUGGGACUGAGA